CUUAGGCCGGUAGACUGGGUCGCGUUUAUCCGGAAGGCCAGCCCCAGGGGGUAUGCUCUCGGGCAGUGAAGCACCCAGGCUGAGUUGCCUUAGGCCGGUAGACUGAGUCGCGUUUAUCCGGAAGGCCAGCCCCAGGGGGUAUGCUCUCGCGCGGCGAAGCACCCAGGCUGAGUUGCCUUAGGCCGGUAGACUGGGUCGCGUUUAUCCGGAAGGCCAGCCCCAGGGGGUAUGCUCUCGUGCAGCGAAGCACCCAGGCGGAGCUGCCUUGGGCCGGUAGUUUGUGUUGCGUUUACCCGCAUAGCCAGCACCAGCAAGGUUUUGCGCUCGGGCAGCGAGGCACCCAGGCGGAGCUGCAUUGAGUCGCUAGGUUGCGUCGUGUUUAUCCGGUAGGCCAGCCCCAGGGGGUGUGCUCUCGCGCGGCGAAGCACCCAGGCUGAGUUGCCUUGGGCCAAGAGGAUGGGUCGCAUGUAUCCGGAAGGCCAACCCCAGGGGGUAUGCUCUUGCGCGGUGAAGCACCCAGGCUGAGUUGCUUUGGGCUGGUAGGUUGCGUCGUGUCCGCCCGGAGGACCAACCCCAGCGGGAUUGUUCUCGUGUAGCGGAGGACCC
RNAcentral lists this long non-coding RNA (606 nucleotides) under Volvox carteri. Its description in RNAcentral is "long non-coding RNA (VCAR_LNC000918)". Lineage: Eukaryota; Viridiplantae; Chlorophyta; Chlorophyceae; Chlamydomonadales; Volvocaceae. The record is from RNAcentral.